This 460-nucleotide ribosomal RNA is filed under the name uncultured bacterium. RNAcentral describes it as "partial 16S ribosomal RNA". It matches the Rfam family "Bacterial small subunit ribosomal RNA", at positions 338 to 795 of the family's 1533-position model. The record is from RNAcentral.
CCUACGGGAGGCAGCAGUGAAGAAUAUUGGUCAAUGGACGAGAGUCUGAACCAGCCAAGUAGCGUGAAGGAUGACUGCCCUAUGGGUUGUAAACUUCUUUUAUAUGGGAAUAAAAUGUUCCACGUGUGGGAUUUUGUAUGUACCAUAUGAAUAAGGAUCGGCUAACUCCGUGCCAGCAGCCGCGGUAAUACGGAGGAUCCGAGCGUUAUCUGGAUUUAUUGGGUUUAAAGGGAGCGUAGGUGGAUUGUUAAGUCAGUUGUGAAAGUUUGCGGCUCAACCGUAAAAUUGCAGUUGAAACUGGCAGUCUUGAGUACAGUAGAGGUGGGCGGAAUUCGUGGUGUAGCGGUGAAAUGCGUAGAUAUCACGAAGAACUCCGAUAGCGAAGGCAGUUCACUGGACUGCAACUGACACUGAGGCUCGAAAGUGUGGGUAUCAAACAGGAUUAGAUACCCUGGUAGGC